Vicugna pacos (alpaca) is the source of this 749-nucleotide non-coding RNA. The record is from RefSeq and is a predicted model, not a curated record. NCBI's taxonomy places the organism in Eukaryota, Metazoa, Chordata, Mammalia, Artiodactyla, Camelidae.
CCGGCGCCUCAGGCUGAUGGUGCUGAGAGGCUGCCGUCUGUGGAGACCCCCGGGGAAGCCCCGGCGCUCUCCUGUGCGCAUGCUUAAGCUACUCCGAACUCGGCAUCCAGGGGGGCCAGCUCUGGAAACAGCAUCUCUUCUUCCUCACUGCCUCUCGCUCCGAGUGGGCUAUUUCUCGCACCUUCCACACACGGGUCGCAACAUCUGGGUGCUGGAAGGGAGGUCAGCUGCUUAGGACCCUACCUUGGAGCGGCCGAGGGCCCACCACCAAUCUGCUAGUGAUGGCAUAAGAAAUGGAAACUUACCUGCCAUACGUGAUUUAGCAUAUGCUGUGUACAGAACUGAUUCGAAGAGACUCUAGUAGAAGAUGUUUUUGUAAACUUCAGACAUAAUACAUGGCAUCAGGAGUGGAGACAUUUCUUUUUGGACAAGCUCUGAAAGGAUGAAAGGAAAAUGUUUCUUUAAAUGUGAACCGAGAAACAACGGAUGUGUGGAAGCUCCUUAUGGAGGAGACCGACAUUCCAUUUUUGUGCACUGUUUCCCAGUGCCUUUUCACUGCUUCUGGCUGCAGUAGGCAUUCAACAGAUGGUCAAAGCCAACUGACUCACUUCUGAACUGAGAGAGGAUGACCCGCAGAGGAGCCUUGCGUGAGCCGUGCUGUAGAUGACAAGACCCCAUCUGCUCAUGAGCCUGAUCUACUGCCUCACCCGAGGGUCAGAAACAAAGCAGAUGCUGGACACAGUGGUCAA